UCGGGAAUUUUGGGCAAUGGGGGAAACCCUGACCCAGCAACGCCGCGUGAAGGAUGAAGUAUUUCGGUAUGUAAACUUCGAAAGAAUAGGAAGAAUAAAUGACGGUACUAUUUGUAAGGUCCGGCUAACUACGUGCCAGCAGCCGCGGUAAUACGUAGGGACCAAGCGUUGUUCGGAUUUACAGGGCGUAAAGGGCGCGUAGGCGGUGUGUCAAGUCAGUUGUGAAAUCUCCGAGCUUAACUCGGAACGGUCAACUGAUACUGUCACACUAGAGUACAGAAGGGGCAAUCGGAAUUCUUGGUGUAGCGGUGAAAUGCGUAGAUAUCAAGAGGAACACCUGAGGCGAAGGCGGGUUGCUGGGCUGAUACUGACGCUGAGGCGCGAAAGCUAGGGUAGCAAACGGGAUUAGAUACCCGCGUAGUCCCUGAGCGGGCUGGCAAGGCGCAU
This 447-nucleotide ribosomal RNA is filed under the name uncultured bacterium. Its description in RNAcentral is "bacterial SSU rRNA". It matches the Rfam family "Bacterial small subunit ribosomal RNA", at positions 355 to 825 of the family's 1533-position model. The record is from RNAcentral.